Molecule: ribosomal RNA, 253 nt
Filed under: uncultured bacterium
Lineage: Bacteria
Description: partial 16S ribosomal RNA
Rfam family: Bacterial small subunit ribosomal RNA
Source: RNAcentral
UACGUAGGGUGCGAGCGUUGCCCGGAUUUAUUGGGCGUAAAGGGCGCGUAGGCGGCUCUGCACGUCCGUUGUGAAAUCGCCCGGCUCAACUGGGCGGGGUCAGCGGAUACGGCGGAGCUUGAGCAAGCUAGGGGGCAAUGGAAUUCCCGGUGUAGUGGUGGAAUGCGCAGAUAUCAGGAGGAACACCGAUGGCGAAGGCAGGUCUCUGGGCCACUACUGACGCUGAGAAGCGAAAGCAUGGGGAGCGAACAGG